UUAAGCGACUAAGCGUACACGGUGGAUGCCUAGGCAGUCAGAGGCGAUGAAGGGCGUGCUAAUCUGCGAAAAGCGUCGGUAAGGUGAUAUGAACCGUUACAACCGACGAUACCCGAAUGGGGAAACCCAGUGCAAUUCGUUGCACUAUUGCAUGGUGAAUACAUAGCCAUGCAAGGCGAACCGGGGGAACUGAAACAUCUAAGUACCCCGAGGAAAAGAAAUCAACCGAGAUUCCCCCAGUAGCGGCGAGCGAACGGGGAGGAGCCCAGAACCUGAAUCAGCAUAUGUGUUAGUGGAAGCGUCUGGAAAGUCGCACGGUACAGGGUGAUAGUCCCGUACACAAAAAUGCAUAUGUUGUGAGUUCGAUGAGUAGGGCGGGACACGUGACAUCCUGUCUGAAUAUGGGGGGACCAUCCUCCAAGGCUAAAUACUCCUGACUGACCGAUAGUGAACCAGUACCGUGAGGGAAAGGCGAAAAGAACCCCGGCGAGGGGAGUGAAAUAGAACCUGAAACCGUGUACGUACAAGCAGUGGGAGCACCUUCGUGGUGUGACUGCGUACCUUUUGUAUAAUGGGUCAGCGACUUAUAUUUUGUAGCAAGGUUAACCGAAUAGGGGAGCCGUAGGGAAACCGAGUCUUAACUGGGCGAAUAGUUGCAAGGUAUAGACCCGAAACCCGGUGAUCUAGCCAUGGGCAGGUUGAAGGUUGGGUAACACUAACUGGAGGACCGAACCGACUAAUGUUGAAAAAUUAGCGGAUGACUUGUGGCUGGGGGUGAAAGGCCAAUCAAACCGGGAGAUAGCUGGUUCUCCCCGAAAGCUAUUUAGGUAGCGCCUCGUGAACUCAUCUUCGGGGGUAGAGCACUGUUUCGGCUAGGGGGUCAUCCCGACUUACCAAACCGAUGCAAACUCCGAAUACCGAAGAAUGUUAUCACGGGAGACACACGGCGGGUGCUAACGUCCGUCGUGAAGAGGGAAACAACCCAGACCGCCAGCUAAGGUCCCAAAGUCAUGGUUAAGUGGGAAACGAUGUGGGAAGGCAUAGACAGCCAGGAUGUUGGCUUAGAAGCAGCCAUCAUUUAAAGAAAGCGUAAUAGCUCACUGGUCGAGUCGGCCUGCGCGGAAGAUGUAACGGGGCUAAACCAUGCACCGAAGCUGCGGCAGCGACACUUAGGUGUUGUUGGGUAGGGGAGCGUUCUGUAAGCCGUUGAAGGUGACCUGUGAGGGUUGCUGGAGGUAUCAGAAGUGCGAAUGCUGACAUAAGUAACGAUAAUGCGGGUGAAAAACCCGCACGCCGGAAGACCAAGGGUUCCUGUCCAACGUUAAUCGGGGCAGGGUGAGUCGACCCCUAAGGCGAGGCUGAAAAGCGUAGUCGAUGGGAAACAGGUUAAUAUUCCUGUACUUGGUGUUACUGCGAAGGGGGGACGGAGAAGGCUAGGCUAGCCGGGCGACGGUUGUCCCGGUUUAAGCAUGUAGGCGGAGUGACUUGGUAAAUCCGGUUGCUUAUCAACGCUGAGGUGUGAUGACGAGCCACUACGGUGGUGAAGUAGUUGAUGCCAAGCUUCCAGGAAAAGCCUCUAAGCAUCAGGUAACAUUAAAUCGUACCCCAAACCGACACAGGUGGUCAGGUAGAGAAUACUCAGGCGCUUGAGAGAACUCGGGUGAAGGAACUAGGCAAAAUGGUGCCGUAACUUCGGGAGAAGGCACGCUGGCAUUAGGUAAAGAGACUUGCUCUCGGCGCCGAAGCCAGUCGCAGAUACCAGCUGGCUGCAACUGUUUAAUAAAAACACAGCACUGUGCAAACACGAAAGUGGACGUAUACGGUGUGACGCCUGCCCGGUGCUGGAAGGUUAAUUGAUGGGGUCAGCCGCAAGGCGAAGCUCUUGAUCGAAGCCCCAGUAAACGGCGGCCGUAACUAUAACGGUCCUAAGGUAGCGAAAUUCCUUGUCGGGUAAGUUCCGACCUGCACGAAUGGCGUAAUGAUGGCCAGGCUGUCUCCACCCGAGACUCAGUGAAAUUGAACUCGCUGUGAAGAUGCAGUGUACCCGCGGCAAGACGGAAAGACCCCGUGAACCUUUACUAUAGCUUGACACUGAACAUUGAGCCUUGAUGUGUAGGAUAGGUGGGAGGCAUUGAAGUGUGGACGCCAGUCUGCAUGGAGCCAACCUUGAAAUACCACCCUUUAAUGUUUGAUGUUCUAACUCGGCCCCAUAAUCUGGGGUGAGGACAGUGUCUGGUGGGUAGUUUGACUGGGGCGGUCUCCUCCCAAAGAGUAACGGAGGAGCACGAAGGUUAGCUAAUCACGGUCGGACAUCGUGAGGUUAGUGCAAAGGCAUAAGCUAGCUUGACUGCGAGAGUGACGGCUCGAGCAGGUACGAAAGUAGGUCUUAGUGAUCCGGUGGUUCUGAAUGGAAGGGCCAUCGCUCAACGGAUAAAAGGUACUCCGGGGAUAACAGGCUGAUACCGCCCAAGAGUUCAUAUCGACGGCGGUGUUUGGCACCUCGAUGUCGGCUCAUCACAUCCUGGGGCUGAAGUAGGUCCCAAGGGUAUGGCUGUUCGCCAUUUAAAGUGGUACGCGAGCUGGGUUUAGAACGUCGUGAGACAGUUCGGUCCCUAUCUGCCGUGGGCGUUGGAAGAUUGAGAGGGGCUGCUCCUAGUACGAGAGGACCGGAGUGGACGAAUCACUGGUGUUCGGGUUGUCAUGCCAAUGGCAUUGCCCGGUAGCUAAAUUCGGAAGAGAUAACCGCUGAAAGCAUCUAAGCGGGAAACUUGCCUCGAGAUGAGUCUUCCCUGGGGCUUUAAGCCCCCUGAAGGAACGUUAAAGACUAUGACGUUGAUAGGCUGGGUGUGUAAGUGCAGCGAUGCAUUGAGCUAACCAGUACUAAUGAUCCGUGAGGCUUAACCUU
Molecule: ribosomal RNA, 2905 nt
Filed under: Yersinia enterocolitica
Lineage: Bacteria; Pseudomonadati; Pseudomonadota; Gammaproteobacteria; Enterobacterales; Yersiniaceae
Description: bacterial LSU rRNA
Rfam family: Bacterial large subunit ribosomal RNA
Source: RNAcentral